AGGUGUGAGCCACUGUGCCCAGCCUGAAAUUCCUUAUUUUAUCUUUAAAAAAUCAUGUAAGUUUGCAUCCUUCUCUUUAAUGUGUGGGGAUUUCCCUCCCCUUUCUUAAAAACAUCUUCCCCUCUCAGUAUUCUACCUGAGUGGAUGUUCCAAGAAGAUACACCCAGGUUAUGUCCCAAGGCUGUGGACAUCUCAUGCCCCAUGGUGACCUCUAGGCCCUUCAAGCCCCAGGCCCCGGGCCACCUGGUCUGGCUGGGGAGAAGUUCAGGGAUGGUUGAGGUUGAUGGUUGAGGGCCUGCCAGCUGUCACGGCCUGGGGCUGGCCCCAUCUCUGCUCUGAACUCUGCUGCCUCUCCCUCUCGUCUUGGCUCCCAGACGUUUGUCCAUGCAGCUCCAACUGUCCCACUAGGAGUUCUCAGGACACCUCACCCCACCCUUUGUCCACUGAGGGUCCUUGUUUCAGAGGGGGCACUGCCUGUCUUCUGUCUUCAUCCUUCUCUGCUGGGCAGCCUGACUACAUGACCCAGGGCUUUCUGUGCCAAUUAAGAGGAAACUGAGGCCAAGUGGAGAGGUGCCAGCCUGGGGAGUGCAGUGAGGAGGGCUGUUGGGUGUCCAGGGGCGGGUGUCUCUGGGUAGAUGGGGGUACCUAGGCCUGAAGAGAGAUCUGGGCACUGGCCAGGGAGGCAGGAGGAAGGAGGGAAGGCCGCGGGGCACCCGGGGGCUGCUGCCUGGCAGGUCCCCGUGCCCAGGCAAGGGAAGUUUCUUAUUUCUCCUGCUCCGACUUCCCCCUUUGAUUUAUUAUAGCCAUGAAAUGCUCUGCUCUCUUCUCUUUUCCUUGCUGUCCCCGGGGCUGGAGGAGCACGGGCCUCCCCGGGAGCGGGCCUCGGCCUCCCUGGACUCCCGUCUCCUUCCGAGGGCUGGGCCUGGGGAACCAGAAGCAAGAGUCCCUAGAGCUUCCAAUAUUUUUGGUUUCAAACCAGUUUCCUGGUGACCAGAAUGAAAGGGAGCCACAUUCCAGCACAAUGCACCUGGUGACCUCCUGCAAAUCCAGGACCUUCUCCGCCCCUCUUUUGCUCCGCUGCAGAAGGGGGAAGCUGGGAAUGUGCUGCUCUGGGGUCCCGCCACCUCCAGCCAGCCACUGUCCCUGUCUUCCCAAAACCUCCUCGUUGUCCCUCCUCUGUCCUCCUCCUCCAUCCUCGCCCUGCUCUCCUCUUUUUUGCCUGAGGUUCACGCUGCCUCCUCACCUCUUGUCCAGUUUCUCCCUUCUCUCUGCUCCCUCCUUUUAUCUUGUUAUUUUGCUUCUCUUUCCUUUCCUCUCUUUUCCCCCUCCCCUUCCUCCCUGCUCCCUGCCUCAGCUUCUCCGUCUCUCCGUUCUUCCUCUAGCUUCCUUCCCUCUCCAGAAGACCCAGCCCUUCCUAGAGCCCCAGCAGCCAGGGUUCAUGCCCCAGCUCUCUACCGCACAUGCUGUGCAACCCUGGGCCAGUCACUCAUCUCUUGGGCCUCAGUUGAAUGGAUGGCUCUCUUGGUGAUGUGAGAUCAUAGGGUGGAAGCACCCAGCAUGGUGCCAAGCACUCAAAACUUUUUUUCUUUUCCUUUUUAAGGAACUACUAACUGUGAGGUUGUGGAUUACCAAACCCUUCCUGUUCUUGGAAUCUGGGUCCUCCUAUUCCCAAGAAUUUGAAUUACCACGGGUCCCUGGGGAUGUAAGGGGAUGAGGCUUCUGGUGUCCUUGGGGAGGGGGAGGAGCGGGAAGAGGAGCUGGGAGGACACUCUAGCAUUGCCCAGAGGGCAGAGGACAUUCUGCCUAUUUCCAGAGGUUAUUGACUCUGGAUCUCUUUUAUGGACUUCCUCACCCAGGCCCCUUGAGCUUGGCCAUACUUGAUGCAAUGGGAUAUCUUCCUUCUUCUGGAGCCCCUUGAAUCUUAGGCCUUGGGAACAUGUAGCCUACCUGGUUUCUUGGCUGUACCCACGGAGGAGAGCCCCAUACUCCCUACUUAAAACCAGCAAAGGCUCCACAGCCAUCCCUGUACAUGACUCAGGCUCCUUGGCUUGGCACUCAAGGCUCUUUGCCUUCCUGUCCUGCUUUGCUUCCAGCUGCAAGGACGGUGGCUCCCUGUUUUCCUGUUCUUUUCCUUUGCUUAAGUUGAUUCUCGGCCAGACAUGCCUUCCCCUCACACGCUUCCCUAAGCCAUCCUAUCUGGGACGCUGACCCCAUCAAUCAUUCCCAAAUGCACCUUUGAGACCGAGUGUACCUGGCACCUCCCCUCUUGCCCCACUAUCUGCUCACAUGACCCUCUGCAGGCCUGUAAGCAGCUGGAGGCUCCGAGGAUGCCUCAUUCAUGUCUGUCCUCCUUACUAGGCCCAGACCUAUAAUCCCAACAUUUGGGAAGGCUGAGGCAGGCGGAUUGCUUGAGCCCAGGAGUUCAAGAUCAGUCUGGGCAACAUGGUGAAACCCUAUCUCUACAAAAAAUACAGAAAAUUAGACGAGACUACAGGUGGCACACACCCGUAGUCCCAGCCACUCUGGAGGCUGGGGCGGGAGGAUCGCUUGAGCCCGGGAGGUCCAGGCUGCAGUGGGCCGAGAGCACGCCAUUGCACUCCAGCCUCAGUGAUAAAGCAACAUUCUGUUUCAAAAGAAAAAGAAUUGACUGGGCAUGGUGGCUCAUGUCUGUCACCCCAGCACUUUGGGAGGCCAAGGCAGGUGGAUCACCUGAGAUCAGGAGUUCGAGACUAGCCUGGCCAACGUGACGAAACUCUGCCUCUACUAAAAAUACAAUAAUUAGCUGGGCAUGGUGGCGGGCACCUGUAAUCCCACAUACUCGGGAGGCUGAGCCAGGAGAAUCACUUGAAUCCAGGAGGCGAAGUGAGCCGAGAUUGUGCCACUGCACUCCAGCCUGGGUGACAAGAGCGAAACUCAGUCUCAAAAGAACAAGAAAAAGAGAAAAGAAGAAAGAAAAAGAAUUAUCAUCUGAUCCAGCCAUCUCACUAAGUAUCUAACCAAAGGAAAAUAAAUCACUAUAUCAAAAA
Non-coding RNA from Macaca mulatta (Rhesus monkey), 3026 nucleotides. The record is from RefSeq and is a predicted model, not a curated record. NCBI's taxonomy places the organism in Eukaryota, Metazoa, Chordata, Mammalia, Primates, Cercopithecidae.